This is a long non-coding RNA of Arabidopsis thaliana (thale cress), 390 nucleotides long. RefSeq annotates it as other RNA. Lineage: Eukaryota; Viridiplantae; Streptophyta; Magnoliopsida; Brassicales; Brassicaceae. The record is from RefSeq. The transcript has a single exon.
UUAAGCGAACCGACUUCAACCUCCACCGUCGGAGCUUCAGUUCCAGGGACAGAAUCACUGUCGAUAGGACUAUCUAACAUGGAUUCUUAAGGGUUUCUCACUGGUAGAUAGUAAAGAGGCUCCAAUUAAAGAUACAUCAGCAAAUUGGCAAUGAUUAAUAAGCGACGGAUUCCACUUCUUAUCUUCAUCAUAAUUCUCAGAUCUCUGAUUUGAUUUCUGCAAUCAAGUCUCAACAUGAAAUAGAUCGGAACAUAACACUAGAAAGCUAGAUUACUUACACUGUCAUUACCAACCCAUGUAUGUGAGAUUAUUAAAAGCAAACAAAAGUAAAAACACAGAUAAACAAAGGAAAGAGGAUGCGUAGGAGAAAGCCAGCCACAUGCCACCAUG